GGGGAUUUAGCUCAGUGGUAGAGUGCUUGCCUUGCAAGCACAAGGCCCUGGGUUCGGUCCUCAGCUCCG
RNAcentral lists this transfer RNA (69 nucleotides) under Rattus norvegicus (Norway rat). It matches the Rfam family "tRNA". From Rfam's summary of the family: Transfer RNA (tRNA) molecules are approximately 80 nucleotides in length. Their secondary structure includes four short double-helical elements and three loops (D, anti-codon, and T loops). Further hydrogen bonds mediate the characteristic L-shaped molecular structure. tRNAs have two regions of fundamental functional importance: the anti-codon, which is responsible for specific mRNA codon recognition, and the 3' end, to which the tRNAs corresponding amino acid is attached (by aminoacyl-tRNA synthetases). tRNAs cope with the degeneracy of the genetic code in two manners: having more than one tRNA (with a specific anti-codon) for a particular amino acid; and 'wobble' base-pairing, i.e. permitting non-standard base-pairing at the 3rd anti-codon position. The record is from Rfam by way of RNAcentral. Lineage: Eukaryota; Metazoa; Chordata; Mammalia; Rodentia; Muridae.